This 253-nucleotide ribosomal RNA is filed under the name uncultured bacterium. Its description in RNAcentral is "partial 16S ribosomal RNA". It matches the Rfam family "Bacterial small subunit ribosomal RNA", at positions 524 to 776 of the family's 1533-position model. The record is from RNAcentral.
UACAGAGGUGGCAAGCGUUGGUCGGAAUUACUGGGCGUAAAGGGCGCGUAGGCGGCCUUCUAAGUCAGACGUGAAAUCCCCCGGCUUAACCUGGGAACUGCGUCUGAUACUGGGAGGCUAGAGUGCGGGAGAGGGAUGCGGAAUUCCAGGUGUAGCGGUGAAAUGCGUAGAUAUCUGGAGGAACACCGGUGGCGAAGGCGGCAUCCUGGACCGACACUGACGCUGAGGCGCGAAAGCUAGGGUAGCAAACGGG